This 497-nucleotide ribosomal RNA is filed under the name uncultured bacterium. RNAcentral describes it as "partial 16S ribosomal RNA". It matches the Rfam family "Bacterial small subunit ribosomal RNA", at positions 28 to 507 of the family's 1533-position model. The record is from RNAcentral.
GAUGAACGCUGGCGGCGUGCCUAAUACAUGCAAGUCGAGCGAACAGACGAGGAGCUUGCUCCUCUGACGUUAGCGGCGGACGUGUGAGUAACACGUGGAUAACCUACCUAUAAGACUGGGAUAACUUCGGGAAACCGGAGCUAAUACCGGAUAAUAUAUUGAACCGCAUGGUUCAAUAGUGAAAGACGGUUUUGCUGUCACGUAUAGAUGGAUCCGCGCCGCAUUAGCUAGUUGGUAAGGUAACGGCUUACCAAGGCGACGAUGCGUAGCCGACCUGAGAGGGUGAUCGGCCACACUGGAACUGAGACACGGUCCAGACUCCUACGGGAGGCAGCAGUAGGGAAUCUUCCGCAAUGGGCGAAAGCCUGACGGAGCAACGCCGCGUGAGUGAUGAAGGUCUUCGGAUCGUAAAACUCUGUUAUUAGGGAAGAACAAAUGUGUAAGUAACUAUGCACGUCUUGACGGUACCUAAUCAGAAAGCCACGGCUAACUACGUG